Long non-coding RNA from Melospiza melodia melodia, 8369 nucleotides. RefSeq lists it as uncharacterized. NCBI's taxonomy places the organism in Eukaryota, Metazoa, Chordata, Aves, Passeriformes, Passerellidae. The record is from RefSeq and is a predicted model, not a curated record. The transcript has 4 exons.
AUGUCAGGAUUAAUGUCAGACAACUUUGUGUUUGCUUCUAGUAUUUUAUUCUUUCCAGGAUUUGACUAAAGUCAUAUAUAUGGCUUCUUUUCCUUACUGUUCUGAUUUCUGUUUGUUUCAUAACAUGAGAUGCCUAGAAUUGUUUCUUUUCAAUUCCCUCACUCCAUAGUUAUUGCCUCAGACACUUUAUAUCCCCUCAAAGGAGAAAAAUCAGGAGUGUCUCUUCAGCAUAGUGAAUGGGUUGUGGUAUUUCUUUGAGGCCAGAGUGGGUGUGUUUGCUUAGUAUGCCACACAGGAAAUUCCUUAAAUAUGAGAGAUGCCUAAAGCCCAGUGAGAGAAGAACAUCUUAGAUUUCUGAGUGGCCAUUUGAUGUUGUUUUGCCAUAUGUUUGUUUAUGUAGCUGUCAUUUGCCAUUUGGAAUGCCUCACUGAGGAGUUUCUUUGCUUCCUGAGUAGAAAGUCUCCAAUUUAGGAAAGUGUCCACCAUUCCUAUUUCCAGAACAAAGUAAUUAUUAAAAAAAAAAGUAAUGUAUGUGAGACAUUAGGGAUUAAUAGGUCAGAAUAACUAGCUAGCACAUAGCAAUAAGGUUUAUUAGUGAAAACUUAAUAAGUGUUUGAAUUCACAGCUUAAUUAUAACUGUGAUGGCUAUGACAGUACUGCUGUGGAAUUCUCUGAGUAUCUAACAAGUUUAAUUUAAAAAUAAAAGUUAAAAAAUUAUAACAUAAGCUCUUACAAUACAGUGAAAAUAAAUAUUUAAUAGACUUAGCAUUGCCACAUACAACAGCUCUGCAGAGACUAAGAUGGGGUCUAAUUAUAUAAAGUAGAAACAUUUCACUGACUAUAUUCAUUAAAGUGCAGAUUUGAAUUCCAGUUAUAGAAAUGUAUUUUUAAAUCUAGUUGAAAUUUUUCAUCACCAUAAAACAGCCUCAGAUAACCUAAAAUUGAGAACUAAUUUGUGGCUGGAUUUCUAGGGUCUUGAUAUAUGUCACGAUCCUUAAAAGGAGAAAUUAUGUUGUUAUUAUUUUAUUUUUAUUUCUGCAUUUGCAAAGAUAUUGAAAAUUAAGGAAGUGAAGUUUAGAUACUGAUAAAAUUGGGACUUUCCUCUGGUUGCAGUGGCAAUUCAGAGCUGAGUUUCAGAUCUGACUAUAUGGAGAUAAUGGGAAUCUUAUGCAAUAAUUUGGUUUUAGAAGAGUCUAGCUAGACUUAAAGACAGAAAAUUAGUUCCUUUCAUUGGGGGCAGGGCUAGGUUAGUCAGAAAAUCCAAAAGAGUUCAAGAUUCUGGUUUUGGACCUUUUUAUUUAACCUUCUGUUAAUGCACAGAAAUUCUUUUAGAUUGUCUAAUGCUUAUCUUCAGUCAAGUAGAAAAGCUGUUCUUGAGUGAACAAAAAUUAAUAUUUAUGAGGAGGUUAAUUUUUCUCUAUGUUGCUGUUUAUUAAGGGUUCAGUGUAUGUGUGUGUGUCUUUUUUCUUUAUUAAUGAGGCUUUAAAAUGAGGCUUGAUACGACCUUUGUAAGAAGACCCCAGUACAUGUGGGCUUUGGUAUGGAAAAUAGCUGCACCUGAGAAGAAAAAAUCCAGAGAGGUUAGGUUAAUUUUAAAGUAGUGAUGCUAUGUUAGGUUCUACUAGCUGCUUUUAUCUAUACAAAGAGAAGAAAGAUUUUUUCUUACUGUAGUACUGGUGAAAACAGAGUUGAAAGUGGAUGUUACAAAAUACAUGUUCCUGCACGUUAGAAUGUGGUGCAAAAUCCAGUCAGGAGUCAUAGCUCCAUUUUCCCAUUGUACCUGCUGCUGCUGAGUCCAGCAUUUGCUCUGGAAUCAGAUGGGCUUGUUUUCUCUGUGUAAAUUUGUACAUGGCAAUAGUAUCUGCAGCCGAAUUGAAUUUUGGUAAACUUUGAAAGAUGGAAGGUCAUUUUUGAAAAUUCAGAGUAUUUGUAGAAUAAAAACAAACCAACAAAAGCCAAUUUAAUAAAUGUUAGGUUAUUGACUAAUAAGACUACUUAGAACAUAGAUAUUCGGCCUUUCAUUUGGACUGCAUUUUGUUGAAAAAUUAAAAAAAAAAGCAAAGUUUUUAUAUACAGUAGUUGACCUGAGUCUAGAAUGGAGUGACUGUUGUUUUAACCUGAGAACUAUAGGGACAGUUUUCAGUGUCACAAGGAUUUAAAUUUACUGUGUGACAAUGAGAUGGCUGUGACUGAGAGCUGUCCUAGCAUUUGCUUCUUCACAGUGGGACCAGAAGUGAUGGUGCUGAAGGGAGCUUUCCAGGUUGCUGUGCAUUUCUGGGUCACAGCCCUUUUUAGGUACUUGAAAGUGCUGUAAGGUCUCUCUGGAGUUUUCUCAAUGCUGAACAGCCCCAACUCUCUCAGCCUGUCAUCAUAGGAAGGGUGUUCCAGCCCUCUGGUCAUCUUCAUGGCCCUCCUCAGAUCCUCUCCAGUAGGUGCAUGUACCUCUUCUGUUGGGGAUCCCAGAGCAGGAUGCGGCACUCCAGGUGGGGACUCACAACAGUGAGUAGAGGGGCAGAAUCCUCUCCUUGCCCUGCUGCCCACACUGCUUUGGAUGCAGCCCAGGGCAUGGUUUGCUUUCUGGACUACAGGUGUGCUUUGCUGGCUCAUGCUGAGCAUUUCCUCAACCUGGGAAAGUCCCUGGGGCUGCUCUCAGUCCAUUCUCUGCCCAGCCUGUCUUGGUGCUUCGGAUUGCCCGAUCCAGAUGCAGGAUUUUGCACUUGACUGUGUUGAACUUCAUGAGGUUUGCACAGAUCUCUCUGGAUGGCACCCCUGCCCUGCAGCUUGUUGGCCACACCACACAGCUUGUUGUCAUCUGUGAACUUGCUGAGAAUGACCUGAUCCCCCAGUCCCUGUCACUGACAUUGAACAGCUCUGGUCCCACUGAGACCACAUAACACCACUUGUCACUGGUCUCCACUUGGACAUUGAACAGCUGACCACAGCUCUUUUAGUGCCACCACACAGCCAAUUCCUUGUCCACUGACAGUUUGGGACUACAUUUGUCGCCAUACAUUUCAUUUCAUUUCAUUUCAUUUCAUGAAAUUUGCCAAAGCCUGGGUUUUUUACCUUGGGAAUGGACAUGGCAAUGCUCUUGGCUUGGUAUCUUUAGAAGACCCAUUCUAUACAUGGUAGCAGAUAGUGCAUUACACCUGCAAACUGGAUAAAUUUCUUCUGAGGAUCCAUAAAGGUGGUUGCCCUCCCAAUCUGGUUUAGGAUCUGAAAAUUCUGAGAGGUUUUAGAAAGGUUUUUAAAGCUAAAACUGGGCUCACAGAAAAAGAAUCCAUGAUUAUCUAUUUUUGUGAUGGAGGUGUCUGACUAAAAGUUAAUUAUAGCUCAGCCACAGAAAUCAGAUAGUAGAUCUAGCAGCUAAAGGCUGAAACCUUUUUGUCAGUGCUUAGUCUUUGUCACACAUUUUCGGUUUGUCUCUGGCAUGACUGAAGUGAAACCAUGAUCCUAUUGUAGGCAAUCCUUUGUAGUAUGUAGACAGUCUGGUUCCAGGAGGAGAUCCAAGGUGGGGUCAGCAUUUCUCCCUACUGCUGCUGAAUUUUUCUGGUCAUCACUGACACUGGAAGAUGCUUUCUCCAUCCUAAGCCUUGUGAGAAAAGCUCUUCAGCUUUGAGCAAGUGUGCUCUCUUACUCUGCUGAGUACACCUGAAGCAGUAUGUUUGGAAGCUGGCUGCUUGUUGAUGGCAGAACUGCCUAGUUUUUUAUAUAUGACUGGAAUCAUUGUAUGCUGCAUCACCACAAACCAGCUUUGCCACUAGACAAGGUUAGCAAUAAUAUGUUUUGUCUAGCAAUGUAUGGAUUUGGUGCCAGACUGUGGAAAGGUAAUUUUGCAAAGUGCAUUAGGUAUGUUUAAUGCCCCUCAUAGCCUUUGCUGUUGCAGCUUCUGAGUUGCCAUUUUGUUCUCUUUAGCUGGAAUCUCUUUUGAUAAUGCUAAGAUCUCAAUUUAAAAUGUCUGGUGCUUCUUCCCCUUCUGUCUUGCUCCUUUCCUUAGAGAUAAGAACAUAAUGCUCAUACUGGGGCAGCAAACAUGCUGUGAAGUAGAUGCUGGAGUAAGUGCAGAGGACACUAAACUGAAGUUUUUAAAAUUUUCCCUGAAAUUUGAGACCUCAGGUUUUGGUUUGUGUGUUCUUUGAACGCCUAAGAAAUUACAGGGCUUAAGUUGGCUUGUUUUUUAAAUUUUACUGCAUCCUUCAAGGGAUGGAGUCUAAUUGUAACCCAUUGAAAUAAAUUUGGGAAAUGGUAAGCUCUUGAAUUAUUGUAUCUCCAUUCUGUACAUGCAUAGCUCCAGUUGGUCCCUGCUCUGUGUGUGGGAGGAUACCAAGGCAGAAUGCUGCAAAGCAGUAAGUACUCAUCUACAGUGUCAGACUGAACAGCCUCAAUUACACUGGGACUAAGUACAUACUAGGGUAUUCUAUUUUGAAGUUUAACUCAUGAUUGCACUUCAAAGAACCAUAUAUUGCAGCAAUUUGGUACUUUUAACACAGCUAGAAUAGUAAGACUGGGUAUAUCCAUUAGUAGAAGCAAAUAAAAAUCAGAGUGAGAUGAAAUAGGAGUACUUGAAAAUGUGAUUAGAUAUAUCUGUUGAGGUUUCUAAAGAUUAGUGUCUGGUCUACAGAGAGCUGGCUGAGUACAUUGUACUACUUCCUUCUUUCAGAUAUUAUUUUGAAUGAAAAGGAGCUAAAAUUAAAUAUUUCUUAGAUCAACAGUCCUGUAGUUAAUCUGGUUAAUGCUGAUUUUUUCAUGAUUGUAAGGAGGACUGAAGGUCUUAAGAUAGCUAGUGAAUAUUAAAUCUACUUUAUUAAAAUGUGUGACCUAGAAUCAAAAACUUCACAAAUUUCUGGGGAAUUAUUUUGAUUUUAUUGUUUUUAGUACAAGGAAUCUUUUCUUCUGUAAGACAGAAUUCCUGGGUGCAAAUGUUAUUGCAGACAUGAUUGGCUUUUUGUAAGAGGUAGCAAAAAUAAACUUUUUCCAGGAGAGUUUUUUAGAUAUUUCUUCUUUUUUCCCCAAUUAUCCUAUACAAUACUCAUUAGCAAAACAAGAAGCUGCAUACCUACCCUCAUUAAAAUCUAAACAUGGUAAUUUACUAAAUAUAGAAAUAUAUAUCUUUAUGUAAAAGGGUGCCAACUUUCUUUAAUAUAUUAAUAUAAGGACUAAACCUGAUGUUAAAGAAAAAGCUGUUAGAAAAUUGCUUUUGGUGGGAAUUUGUGCCAUCAAAGGUAUUGUGUAUAGUUUUGAAUAGCUAUUGAAUAUUGUAUUUAAAACCAAGGUCUUGACCAAACUGAACUUGCAAAUAAAGAUAAAUUCUUAAAAGGAGUCUUUCCACUUGUGGUCUAGUGUAAAGAAUAGACAAGUAGCAGAAAGAGAUCUUGGUUGGACUGUUCUUUCAUUCCUUUAGUGCUCAGUUACCAUGGUGCUGUAGCAGGAGACCAGAGCUACAGGGGAAGUGGUGCUGGUGUUGUGACGCCAUUGUUUAGGUUUUUCACGAGUUUCCAAUACAAACAAUUUACAUUUCCUUUUGUAAUAGCUCUGUAGGAUUUUUUUCAAAUACUAGGAGGGAUGCUUCCCAUGUAGAAGAAUAUAUUGAAGAAGUCUUUAUAGACUAUUGUGUUUUGUCCAUAGCUACUGCAGGAACUACACAGCUUGCUUUCAAGGCCAGCAGUUUGCUAACACAGCAGACAGGCAGCUUGUCAGUUCAAGCCAGUAAUUUAAAUCUUUGGUGCUAGUCAAAGCUGUCAACUUAAUAACAGCUUACUGCAUAAACAAGCUGGAGGGCUUACUUUAGGUCAUUAGUAUGGGAAGUUUCACGUACUGAAUUGAUGUUUAUCACUGCAGAUUAUUUGAAAAGCAAGGCUUGUUUGAAGGAAAGGUAGUAGUGCUUUGUGUUUACAGCUGUGGUCAUGGCAGUGGGUAGUAAAAGUCACUUCAGAUAUGAAGUAGUAUUAGAGAAGUUUUGAUUUUUGAAGAAGAGGAGGGUCAUCUGGUUGGGUUUGGGUUGUGUUUUUAAAGGCACACAGGGCGGAGGGAGCAGAUUGGCAUGUUAGUCAUCUUGAUGUGCCAUAGCAUGAAAGAUCUGCUUUGCAAGGCCUUCUCUCACCACUGAGAUGGGUGAAGGAAGUUCAUGGCAAGUUGAGUGAGUAAUGGAGCAUAUACAGUGAUUUGGCUACCAUGAUCCAGUACACUGGGGACUCAUACACAUCAGAGUCAUCUGAAUUCUUGGUAAUACUACAUAAAAAAUAAUCAGUACUUCAUGGUUUUAUGCCACUUUUUCCCCAGAGCCACCAAAAUGUUUCAUCAGCAGUAGAGCAAAAGAUCUCUCUGGUUUAAGUAGUGUAUAUAUGGGGAUUAUUUUUUUUACCUCAAAACAGUUAUCCCUUAGGGCAAUGAGUAAGAUACACACUCUCCUGUUUGAAGUAAAAAGUGAAGAGCAGUGAAGUGCUAUGAAGCUUUCAGUGGUUGUGACUUGGGAGUUGGGUUUUGUCUUGUUCACUGAUUGCAGUCAGUCACAACCCCUGCACUGUCAGGAAUUGUAGCAAGAUACUGGCUCACUGCUUUGGAGCUGUGGUGUUUUGAGUCUGCCAGUCCUUAUGGAGGCUUAAUGGGUUUCUGGUGGCCAGUUUUAUUACAGGACUGACUGGCAAAAGUCCUCACUAAUUUGUAAAGCUGAACAGGAUUGUGCCAUAAGGUUUUAGUGAGAGGAAAUUUGCCUGUAUAUUUAGAAAUACGAAGAUAUUUUAAACAUUGAACAGUUUGACUACAACUGUUACAGCAUUCCUUAAACAGUAAAAAAAAGCAUCUAUACUGUCUAGAAGUAUUAAUUAUUGAAAACAGGAGCAUCUACUAUAUAAUGAACUGCAGUUAUGCUGCUAAAAUAAAUUCAUAUUUUGUAGUUAUCAAUUUUCUUUAGAUUAGAUUCAGGACUAAUUGCAUGCAUUUUGCUGUGGAUUGAUAUUUCAAAGGGAGAUUGUUCUUCCUUUUUUCUUGUCUGGAAUUUGCUUUAUGUAUCUCUUAAAUUUUUUAAUAAGUAAAAUAUGCCUGAACAGAUGAUGUGUUCUAGUUAGCCAUAUAUAGCUACACUAAAGAUCUGAAAGUUCCCUUGUUAAAUGUCUUAAAUAUUUAAUUUCUUUUCUGUAUAAGCAAUUUUAAAGUUUUUGUUACAUGAAGAGUUGCCUAUAUCCUCUCUUACUAUUUUGAUUUUUAAAAACUAAAUAAAUAAAAUAUAGAGAUUCAUUUUCUGACUGAAGAUGUGGGAUGAUGGGAAAUGUACAGCUGCUUAAUAUGUUUUCAGAAAUCAGGCUGCAGAAUAAAAAAAGUAAAUACUGUCAGAAACAUGGAAGAAAACAUUAUUUAAGCCUUUUAUGUUCUGGUCAAUGCAGAUGAAGUCAUGUACAUUCUUUUACAUAAUGUGCUCCUUUAAUGGUCCUGCUGGAAAUAGACUUCUUGGCAGCUGUACAGUGCAGAACAAGAUGGAUAAAGUUCUGUUCCUGUUUCAAAAUGCUGUAAGUGUGAGCAUGUCAGAAUUGUAGUAAGACAAAUUCAGUCUUUUUUCCUUUUCAGUUCCAUCCAUUUAAUGUUAGUUAAACGAUCUGUUAAAUUAAUAAGGGCACAUCUGAAAAAAAACAUCAUUUGUCAGUAGUUUUUGGAGUGAAAUCCUCUGGAUCCUGACCCUGCUGAGGAGAUGGAAGGGUGUAGUGCUGAGAACGAUGAGUCCAUGGUGAAAAACUGCAUUUAACUCCUUUAUUUCUUUGUGAAGACCUUGUUGGAAUUCUGCAAAACCUUAAUCACAUAGGUUUCUUAGGUGCUGGAAACAUGUAUACUUGUAGCCAUGGGAUCAAUUGUUGUCUUUUGGGUUCUGUUUUAGCAAAGUAAGUGUGCAUCAUUUCAUCCUGCUUAAGCAAAGCAUUAACAUCUAUGGUAUGUGAUACUCAUAAAUUCACUGUGGUUCUGUGGUUACAGGUGUUCUGAAGUGUUCUACUGUAACAGCACUGCAGCCCCUAAUGCAAAUCCUGUGUUUCAAAUUCCCAGUGUGAGCUGACAGCUGGUUACAAGUCAGUUAUUGUGGGCUGUGAUUUGUCUCCUGUAUCCUCAAAAGAUUCAAAAGCACUGAGUGUUUGCAAAAGUAGCGAGCCAGAGCAGUGCACACCUCCAUAUGUGGUAUGACAAAGUGACUGAAUGGCUUGUAUUUUCAUGGUAAGGCCUUGCAGAUUUAUAGCUGCCGCAGCUUUAAUGAUGAAUAAGAGCUACCCACACAAAGAAAGAGAUCUAAUGAUGACUGAAGGCAAGUGAAAUUGAAUAUAUGCUCCUUAUACGGCAGUGUGUGGGAGACACAUUUGUAACAUACUGAGUAUGUGAGCAAAACCAUGUGU